AGAGUUUGAUCAUGGCUCAGGACGAACGCUGGCGGCACGCUUAACACAUGCAAGUCGAACGAGAGAAGAGGAGCUUGCUUUUCUGAUCUAGUGGCGGACGGGUGAGUAACACGUGAGCAAUCUGCCUUUCAGAGGGGGAUACCGAUUGGAAACAAUCGUUAAUACCGCAUAACAUAAUUGAACCGCAUGAUUUGAUUAUCAAAGAUUUAUCGCUGAAAGAUGAGCUCGCGUCUGAUUAGCUAGUUGGUAAGGUAACGGCUUACCAAGGCGACGAUCAGUAGCCGGACUGAGAGGUUGAUCGGCCACAUUGGGACUGAGACACGGCCCAGACUCCUACGGGAGGCAGCAGUGGGGAAUAUUGCACAAUGGAGGAAACUCUGAUGCAGCGAUGCCGCGUGAGGGAAGAAGGUUUUAGGAUUGUAAACCUCUGUCUUCAGGGACGAAAAAAGACGGUACCUGAGGAGGAAGCUCCGGCUAACUACGUGCCAGCAGCCGCGGUAAUACGUAGGGAGCGAGCGUUGUCCGGAAUUACUGGGUGUAAAGGGAGCGUAGGCGGGAUCGCAAGUCAGAUGUGAAAACUAUGGGCUUAACCCAUAAACUGCAUUUGAAACUGUGGUUCUUGAGUGAAGUAGAGGUAAGCGGAAUUCCUAGUGUAGCGGUGAAAUGCGUAGAUAUUAGGAGGAACAUCAGUGGCGAAGGCGGCUUACUGGGCUUUAACUGACGCUGAGGCUCGAAAGCGUGGGGAGCAAACAGGAUUAGAUACCCUGGUAGUCCACGCCGUAAACGAUGAUUACUAGGUGUGGGGGGACUGACCCCUUCCGUGCCGCAGCAAACGCAAUAAGUAAUCCACCUGGGGAGUACGACCGCAAGGUUGAAACUCAAAGGAAUUGACGGGGGCCCGCACAAGCAGUGGAGUAUGUGGAUUAAUUCGAAGCAACGCGAAGAACCUUACCAGGUCUUGACAUCGUAUGCAUAGCUCAGAGAUGAGUGAAAUCUCUUCGGAGACAUAUAGACAGGUGGUGCAUGGUUGUCGUCAGCUCGUGUCGUGAGAUGUUGGGUUAAGUCCCGCAACGAGCGCAACCCUUACUGUUAGUUGCUACGCAAGAGCACUCUAGCAGGACUGCCGUUGACAAAACGGAGGAAGGUGGGGAUGACGUCAAAUCAUCAUGCCCCUUAUGACCUGGGCCUCACACGUACUACAAUGGCUGUCAACAGAGGGAAGCAAAGCCGCGAGGUGGAGCGAACCCCUAAAAGCAGUCUUAGUUCGGAUUGUAGGCUGCAACCCGCCUACAUGAAGUCGGAAUUGCUAGUAAUCGCAGAUCAGCAUGCUGCGGUGAAUACGUUCCCGGGCCUUGUACACACCGCCCGUCACGCCAUGGGAGUCGGUAACACCCGAAGCCUGUAGUCUAACCGCAAGGAGGACGCAGUCGAAGGUGGGAUUGAUGACUGGGGUGAAGUCGUAACAAGGUA
RNAcentral lists this ribosomal RNA (1470 nucleotides) under metagenome. Its description in RNAcentral is "bacterial SSU rRNA". It matches the Rfam family "Bacterial small subunit ribosomal RNA". The record is from RNAcentral.